This 45-nucleotide non-coding RNA is filed under the name Echinostoma caproni. Lineage: Eukaryota; Metazoa; Platyhelminthes; Trematoda; Plagiorchiida; Echinostomatidae. The record is from RNAcentral.
GCACUGCUGACGAGUCCAAAACGGGACGAAACAGCUGUGCAGUGC